GAUGAACGCUGGCGGCGUGCCUAAUACAUGCAAGUCGAGCGAACGGACGAGAAGCUUGCUCCUCUGAUGUUAGCGGCGGACGGGUGAGUAACACGUGGAUAACCUACCUAUAAGACUGGGAUAACUUCGGGAAACCGGAGCUAAUACCGGAUAAUAUUUUGAACCGCAUGGUUCAAAAGUGAAAGACGGUCUUGCUGUCACUUAUAGAUGGUUCCGCGCUGCAUUAGCUAGUUGGUAAGGUAACGGCUUACCAAGGCAACGAUGCGUAGCCGACCUGAGAGGAUGAUCGGCCACACUGGAACUGAGACACGGUCCAGACUCCUACGGGAGGCAGCAGUAGGGAAUCUUCCGCAAUGGGCGAAAGCCUGACGGAGCAACGCCGCGUGAGUGAUGAAGGUCUUCGGAUCGUAAAACUCUGUUAUUAGGGAAGAACAUAUGUGUAAGUAACUGUGCACGUCUUGACGGUACCUAAUCAGAAAGCCACGGCUAACUACGUG
RNAcentral lists this ribosomal RNA (497 nucleotides) under uncultured bacterium. RNAcentral's name for it is "partial 16S ribosomal RNA". It matches the Rfam family "Bacterial small subunit ribosomal RNA", at positions 28 to 507 of the family's 1533-position model. The record is from RNAcentral.